RNAcentral lists this long non-coding RNA (1841 nucleotides) under Setaria viridis. RNAcentral's name for it is "long non-coding RNA (SVIR_LNC000721)". Lineage: Eukaryota; Viridiplantae; Streptophyta; Magnoliopsida; Poales; Poaceae. The record is from RNAcentral.
GAUUAAAACAUUUAUUAAGAGACACCUAUGCAAUAAAUGCAACUAACAGGAGAUGACACUACAAGGUUAGAAGAGUCGGAUUCAUAUUAAAAUCAAUUUUUAAUGUGGAUUUAUAGAUUAAACAAGAUAAACUACCAUUAAGCAUAUUAAAUCUAAAAAGGUUUGUAAAUCAACCAUAUCAGUAGCAACAUCAUUUUUCCUAGCUUCUAGACGGAACACAUGUGCUAAUAGAAGUGGUUUCAUCAUUUUAUCAAUUUUUCACUAUUUAUCAUGCAAUCAGCAAUAUUAACAUAGCAAGCAAGCAUUUAAAUCUAAAACAGUAGGAACAACAAGGAUUCUACUAACACAAGUUAUAUAUCUGAAACAUGCAUGUUACAAGAAAGCUAACAAAAGUGGUUUUACAAUUUUUAGUGCACUAUAUGAUUUAUAAAGCAUUUAAUGUCUCUCACACCAAACAGAUCAUACCACAAAACAUAAAAUAGCAACAUGCACAUACUCAACUCUAAAAUAAACUAGACUUCACAAGCAAUCCAACAAAACAAGAAUCACAUUUUUACCAUUUUUCUACUAGUUUCUAUGCAUUUUCAAAGUUGUUAAUAUUUUAAAACUAGCCAUUUUAUAACCAGUCCGAAACUAUUUGCAAGCUACCCCUUAGAAAGAUUUUUCGUAUCAUAGAUCUACCCUUUUCCUUUCAUUCUACCCCCUGCGUUUCACACUCUAACUCCCACCUCACACAUGAAACUUGCAAUUUUCCCCAUAACCCCCUAUUCUUCUUUUCCACUCGCAAGCAGACCCUCCUUCUUCAACCCUGGGAUAGAUCGCACAGAACACAGGUAUGUCACACAUGGGGGCGCACAACCCAUCGGGGAGAGGGGGAAACAGCGUGGCGGUGCUAGGGGAAGGACAGCAGUGCCAUGCCCAGGCCAGGGGAACUCCUUGGCGUGGCACAGGUAGGGAGGAAGGGGGCAGCGCAUGGGGGCUCCGCGUGGCGGCGGCGAGCGCCGUCGAAAUGCCCUAGAACGAGCAUGGAAACUUAGAUAUCGUGAACAAUAAACGGGAGCAUCAUGAUUAGGAGCUCACCUAGGGCCUAUUUGAGGUGUUGGUUAGCGACGAGGGAGGCCGGAAGGAGGGGCUCCAUGGAGAGGUAGAGCCGGUGGUGGAAAAGUUCCUGGAACUUUGGGGGAACUUCGAUUCCCGUCGAUUUGGUGGACGAUUGAUGGAGAGGAGAGGCUGAGGGUGUAGCCAAGGAAGUGGAGCCACUCUGGGCGAGAGGAAUCGAAGGGGGACGGAGGGAGAUGGGAGGAAUCGAUGACGAACUGAGAGAAGCUCGGAAGGGCAACAAUGGAGGAAAGCUCGAUUUUGGGGAGGCUAUGGCUUGGAGGGGGCCUGAUUUAUGGACGGGGGAGGGUGAGGAUAAGGAUGGCGAGGUGAUAAGGGUGACAAAGAACUAGGGGCGGCCAUUGUAGGAGAGGGAGCUGCCCGUGGUCAACGGACUGGCGGCGGCAAUGGCAUGGAGGACAGGGUGCUGCCCAAUCGGGUGCAAGGAGAGGCGUGGGGAGGAAGGGAGGGCACAUGGGAGGAUGCUUGGGCGGCCUAUGGGCAGAGGAGGAGCCCUCCUGGUGCUAGGAAGGGGCCAAUCCGAAGAACUUGGGGCUGUGUGCCGGCCAUCUAGCAUUCAGGCGCUAGAGGAAGGAGGAAGAAGAGUCUGACUAGUAAGCCCAUGACAUUUUUCACUAUUAAAUUUUGUACCCUUAUUUUACAUAGCUACACGUGUCCAAAAAUUUCCCAAAAAUACUCGUUGGAAAGAAGAAAUCACAAAAAAUCCAUUGUCAUAAUAAUCA